Molecule: ribosomal RNA, 468 nt
Filed under: uncultured bacterium
Lineage: Bacteria
Description: partial 16S ribosomal RNA
Rfam family: Bacterial small subunit ribosomal RNA
Source: RNAcentral
GACGAACGCUGGCGGCGUGCUUAACACAUGCAAGUCGAACGGAAAGGCCCUGCUUUUGUGGGGUUCUCGAGUGGCGAACGUGUGAGUAACACGUGAGUAACCUUCCCUUUACUUUGUGAUAACUUCAGGCAACUGGUGCUAAUACCGGAUACGUGCUCCUGCUGCAUGGUGGGGUUUGGACCGUUUCGGCGGUUGGGGAUGGACUCGCGGGUUAUCAGCUUGUUGGUGGGGUAGUGGCUUACCAAGGCUUUGACGGGUAGCCGGCCUGAGAGGGUGACCGGCCACAUUGGGACUGAGGUACGGCGCAGACGCCUACGGGAGGCAGCAGUGGGGAAUAUUGCACAAUGGGCGGAAGCGUGAUGCAGAAACGCCGCGUGCGGGAUGACGGCCUUCGGGUUGUAAACCGCUUUCGCCUGUGACGAAGCGGGAGUGACGGUAAUGGGUAAAGAAGCACCGGCUAACUACGUG